This 794-nucleotide long non-coding RNA is filed under the name Musa acuminata (dwarf banana). RNAcentral describes it as "long non-coding RNA (MACU_LNC001836)". The record is from RNAcentral. Lineage: Eukaryota; Viridiplantae; Streptophyta; Magnoliopsida; Zingiberales; Musaceae.
UUUGAUCGAGGAGGGGAGUAGAAAGAGAUGCAUGGGAAAUCUGGCACUUGGAUGCUUCCCAACCAUUUCUUUCUUUUUUCCUUUUUCUUUGCUCUUCUUUCGACUUUGGAUUCAAUCAUGGCGGAGCUGCAAACGAGGCCAUGCGUGAGAGAAAGUGAAGGAGACCUCAAAAGGAGCAUGUGUACCGGCAAAGCUAUCCCCAAAUCAUUGCCCAUGGCCAUCUGAGAGUUAAACAAGGUGUGUGGUCCUUGGAGCACUGAGUAGCCCCUACAAUGAUAACUCUGAACAGGCCAUCCUCUUUUUUGACUAGCUAGGUUUUGCAGGACAUGAUCAUAAGAUAUGUUAUCUGGGUGACAGAACUUAGCCUUAACCAAGCUGAUAGUGGUGCAUAAUGUACUUAUCAUCGAGGGCCAUAACUUAUAUUAUCCAGUCCAACCCAAUUCACGGCCAUGGUCUUCUUUACCAAAGAGAUUCAUCAGUUCUGUUCUUGAUCUUUUGUAGGCUGGCCAAAGCUGGAAUAGCCAUGAUUAGACUUCUAACGGGAGGAUGAGGGUAUAUUUCUUUUGAUUAGCGCAGGAAGAGAUGGCAGGGAAGACAUGAGUGACAGUAAAGAUGCUUCAUAUUUCCCAUCCCAAAUGAGAUUUGUCAUCUUCCACCAUGUAGUGAGUGGUAUGUGGAAUAAAGAAAGCUGGUUUCUAAGUGGUCUCCUUUUGAUCGGAAAGAUUAGUAAGUACUUUCAUUCCUUAAUCGAAGUCAGAUUGUUGGGAGAAUAAAUUACUUGUUAGGUAAGGAAU